AUUGAACGCUGGCGGCAGGCCUAACACAUGCAAGUCGAACGGUAACAGGAAGAAGCUUGCUUCUUUGCUGACGAGUGGCGGACGGGUGAGUAAUGUCUGGGAAACUGCCUGAUGGAGGGGGAUAACUACUGGAAACGGUAGCUAAUACCGCAUAACGUCGCAAGACCAAAGAGGGGGACCUUCGGGCCUCUUGCCAUCGGAUGUGCCCAGAUGGGAUUAGCUUGUUGGUGGGGUAACGGCUCACCAAGGCGACGAUCCCUAGCUGGUCUGAGAGGAUGACCAGCCACACUGGAACUGAGACACGGUCCAGACUCCUAAGGGAGGCAGCAGUGGGGAAUAUUGCACAAUGGGCGCAAGCCUGAUGCAGCCAUGCCGCGUGUAUGAAGAAGGCCUUCGGGUUGUAAAGUACUUUCAGCGGGGAGGAAGGGAGUAAAGUUAAUACCUUUGCUCAUCGACGUUACCCGCAGAAGAAGCACCGGCUAACUCCGUG
This 490-nucleotide ribosomal RNA is filed under the name uncultured bacterium. RNAcentral describes it as "partial 16S ribosomal RNA". It matches the Rfam family "Bacterial small subunit ribosomal RNA", at positions 30 to 507 of the family's 1533-position model. The record is from RNAcentral.